RNAcentral lists this ribosomal RNA (468 nucleotides) under uncultured bacterium. RNAcentral describes it as "partial 16S ribosomal RNA". It matches the Rfam family "Bacterial small subunit ribosomal RNA", at positions 28 to 507 of the family's 1533-position model. The record is from RNAcentral.
GACGAACGCUGGCGGCGUGCUUAACACAUGCAAGUCGAACGGAAAGGCCCUGCUUUUGUGGGGUGCUCGAGUGGCGAACGGGUGAGUAACACGUGAGUAACCUGCCCUUGACUUUGGGAUAACUUCAGGAAACUGGGGCUAAUACCGGAUAGGAGCUCCUGCUGCAUGGUGGGGGUUGGAAAGUUUCGGCGGUUGGGGAUGGACUCGCGGCUUAUCAGCUUGUUGGUGGGGUAGUGGCUUACCAAGGCUUUGACGGGUAGCCGGCCUGGGAGGGUGACCGGCCACAUUGGGACUGGGAUACGGCCCAGACUCCUACGGGAGGCAGCAGUGGGGCAUAUUGCACAAUGGGCGGAAGCCUGAUGCAGCAACGCCGCGUGCGGGAUGACGGCCUUCGGGUUGUAAACCGCUUUCGCCUGUGACGAAGCGUGAGUGACGGUAAUGGGUAAAGAAGCACCGGCUAACUACGUG